AUGAAUGAGUUCCUUACUGCUGAGUUCACGGCGGAUGAGGUAAAAAUUGCUCUUGAUAGCAUGGGGGAUCUCAAGGCGCCUGGUAUGGAUGGAUUACCGGCUGUCUUCUAUAAGCACUAUUGGCAUUUGGUUGGUGAUACCGUGGUACAUGAGGUUUUGCAUGUGUUGCGUGGCGGCAGAAUGCCAGAGGGAUGGAACGACACUCUUGUAGUGCUAAUCCCAAAGGUUCAGAACCCCGAAACUAUGAAGGAUCUACGCCCUAUUAGCCUAUGCAACGUGGUGUAUAAACUCGUGUCCAAGGUAUUGGCAAAUCGGCUCAAGAACAUCUUGGGUGAGGUUAUCUCACCGAACCAAAGUGCCUUUGUACCGGGGAGGAUGAUUCGGAUAAUACUAUUCUUGCCUACGAGAUGA
This 411-nucleotide ribosomal RNA is filed under the name Triticum aestivum (bread wheat). RNAcentral's name for it is "partial small subunit ribosomal RNA". The record is from RNAcentral. Lineage: Eukaryota; Viridiplantae; Streptophyta; Magnoliopsida; Poales; Poaceae.